RNAcentral lists this ribosomal RNA (481 nucleotides) under uncultured Streptococcus sp. RNAcentral describes it as "bacterial SSU rRNA". It matches the Rfam family "Bacterial small subunit ribosomal RNA", at positions 903 to 1382 of the family's 1533-position model. The record is from RNAcentral. Lineage: Bacteria; Bacillati; Bacillota; Bacilli; Lactobacillales; Streptococcaceae.
CUACAAAGGAAUUGGACGGGGCCCGCACAGCGGUGGAGCAUGUGGUUUAUUCGAAGCAACGCGAAGAACCUUACCAGGUCUUGACAUCCCGAUGCUUAUUUCUAGAGAUAGAAAGUUACUUCGGUACAUCGGUGACAGGUGGUGCAUGGUUGUCGUCAGCUCGUGUCGUGAGAUGUUGGGUUAAGUCCCGCAACGAGCGCAACCCCUAUUGUUAGUUGCCAUCAUUCAGUUGGGCACUCUAGCGAGACUGCCGGUAAUAAACCGGAGGAAGGUGGGGAUGACGUCAAGUCCUCAUGGCCUUUAUGACCAGGGCUACACACGUACUACAAUGGCCGGUACAAAGGGCAGCGACACAGCGAUGUGAAGCCAAUCCCGAAAAGCCGGUCUCAGUCCGGAUUGGAGUCUGCAACUCGACUCCAUGAAGUUGGAAUCGCUAGUAAUCGCGGAUCAGCACGCCGCGGUGAAUACGUUCCCGGGCCUU